This is a long non-coding RNA of Canis lupus familiaris (dog), 709 nucleotides long. RefSeq lists it as uncharacterized. The record is from RefSeq and is a predicted model, not a curated record. Lineage: Eukaryota; Metazoa; Chordata; Mammalia; Carnivora; Canidae. The transcript has 4 exons.
UCCACAGUCCUCCUCCCUUGCUGACUUUGAAUAAGAUAAGUAGUCCUAUUAGCUGGCCUACCAGGGAAAGAGCUGAAGAACUUCUAGGAUCUGAGAAUCUCUAGGAUCUGCAACAAGGAGCAAACAAGAAGCUGGAGCUCUUGUCUUAUAGCCUUGAGGGAAUGAAUUCUACUAAUAACCUAUAUAAGCUUGGAAGUAGAUCCUCCACCAGUGUUGCUUGAUGUAUCUGCUCAGAUAACAUAAGGACUCAUGUAACCAGGGCAAUGGGACUAGCAGUAUUCAUAAAAAGGUACUUGAUACGUGAUGAAAUAUGGACCUUCAGAGCACCAACUUUGAUGGCAAUAUGGUUUCAAAUCUAGGCCUUCUCAUUUACUAGCUAUUUAACCUUGAACAAGGUAAGAAAAGCCAUGAGAUGGCACAGGAACGAGGAGACUGUCACAUGGGUCAGAGGAGUAAUGUUGCGUACAUGAGAAGGGCCCCACAGCUCUCUCUGAAGACUCUCUGAGGGAAAUGGGAGAUGGCUGUGAGCUUGAGCAGACAAGAGCAGAUCUAUUUCAUUUAAAGGCUCAAUGUAUCUACCCUACGACCCACAAUUGCACUACUGGGUAUCUACCCCAAAGAUACAGAUGCAGUGAAAUGCCAGGUCACCUGCACCCCAAUGUUCAUAGUGGCAAUGUCCACAACAGCCAAACUGUGGAAGGAGCCACGA